CCAAAAACAUCGCUCUUUGAAAAGAUUCUAAGACAUAAAGAGUCCUGCCUGCCCAGUGACGAAAGUUAAACGGCCGCGGUAUUUUGACCGUGCAAAGGUAGCAUAAUCAUUUGCCUUUUAAAUGGAGGCUAGUAUGAAUGGCAAGACGGAGGUUUAGCUGUCUCUCUUUUAGGAACUUGAAUUUAUUAUCCUCGUGAAGAAACGAGGAUAGAAUCGUAGGACGAGAAGACCCUAUCGAGCUUUAGUUACGAGUUAAAGUUAGAAGUUUUUUAUUAUUAGGCUAAUAAAGCCGAAAAUUAAUUUUACCUAGUAAUAAAAAUAAACUGUUAAUAAGGCGCUUUGGUUGGGGCAACCGCGGAGAAAAAUCACCCUCCGCUUAUGGAAUAAGAAAAAACUACUGUUUUGUAAAAUCUAAAUUAUUAAUAAGUGAUCCACUGUAGAAGUGAUCAAAGGAAUAAGUUACCGUAGGGAUAACAGCGUAAUUUUUUUGGAGAGUUCAUAUUGAUAAAAAAGUUUGCGACCUCGAUGUUGGAUCGGGACUUCCAGGAGAUGCAGCAGUUCCAAGG
This 566-nucleotide ribosomal RNA is filed under the name Astropecten polyacanthus. RNAcentral describes it as "partial 16S ribosomal RNA". It matches the Rfam family "Bacterial large subunit ribosomal RNA", at positions 1807 to 2570 of the family's 2925-position model. Lineage: Eukaryota; Metazoa; Echinodermata; Asteroidea; Paxillosida; Astropectinidae. The record is from RNAcentral.